RNAcentral lists this long non-coding RNA (2174 nucleotides) under Eutrema salsugineum. RNAcentral's name for it is "long non-coding RNA (ESAL_LNC001419)". The record is from RNAcentral. Lineage: Eukaryota; Viridiplantae; Streptophyta; Magnoliopsida; Brassicales; Brassicaceae.
UCCUGCUGAAGAAUAGUCUGUACUACUUCACUCCUCAUCUUCAAGUCCCUUGCUCUCUUCUUCAUCAUUACCAAUGGAACUCUAAGCUUACCAUCUCUCCUCCCAAUAGCGAGAAACUCUCUCUCCAUCUUCUCCUUCUUCUUCUUCUUAAUCUCUUUUUCAUCUUCUUUGUUUUCUUUGUCUUCCUUUCUUCUUAUUGUUCUUCUUCCAGUUCUUUCUGAUUAAUGCUACUAAUCAUAAAACCACCGUGAUCCUGAUUGUUGAUGUACAUAUUCAGUUCCGAAAUCCAUUUCUCAUGUAGUCUCCUUACCAGUUUGAUAGUUACCGUGAAUCGUUUUGGCUUAUUGCAGAAAUAAAAUGGCUGACGAGUGUGAAUUUCAAUGGAGAACCAGCGAGCGAUUUACUUUUAGCAACAUGGUAUGCGUCUGAAAUCAUCUAGAGUUUUCUUCUAUCGAUUCUUAAUCGUGCCUGCCAACAUUGAUUUAGAUGGGAUACUGAUGCGAAAGAUCUGUUUAAAACAUAGAAUUUGAGUAAUCGGCUUCCAGAACGUUUGUGAUACUUUGAUUAUUUCAAGCUAUUCUAGAAAUUAAAGACCUUUGGUGUCUAUUUUAGUGGAUUGUUAAGCUCUUAGGCUACCGCAAACCAGAAAAAAAAAUCACAUUAAUUCAUACCUUGAAAAACAAAAAAAAAAGAGCAAAAGCCAAAGAAGACAUUUAAUAAUACUAGGUAUUUGGCAUGCCCCUUGCACGGACAAAAAGAUUUCAUUAAUUAAACACAUUAUAGGUAGAUUAUAAAAUUAAUUAUUAAUAAUAAAUAAAAAAUAUAAAAAAAAUGUGAAACAUAUGUUCAACAAACAAAAAAACAUAAAAAAUAAUAAUAUCUAUCAAUAUAAACUAACGAAAACCAAUUAUUGUAUCAAAACUACAAAGAUGAUUAAAAUAAGACAAAUGACCGAUUUAAAAAAUAUCCUAAAACAUUUUUUAUAUACAACAUUGAUAAUCUUCUACUGUGACUUUCCUUUUAGAUUUAUAAUUAAAAAUCUUGAGUUCUUUUUUCAAUAUAACCCUUAAUUCUUCGUUCUCCCUAGCCAGAAAUCUUUUUCAGUUCUAUGGGUAUUGUUUUUAUUGGUUCUUAUCUGAUAACACCGUAUUUUGAACAAUUUUAUGGAUGAUUCUAAGAUUUUAUUCAGGUUUUUUAACUUAGUAUUCAAUGGUUUUCAAGUGAUUUCUAUGUUUUAGAGUUUCAAAAGAGUUUUCAGGAUAUUUGGACAAAAAGAAUGCAAUUGGAACAAAAAUACAACUUUGGAUAAAUUAGGCAGUCAGAAAUUUGGUAACAAAUGGAGACUUUCCCACCGUCUGAUCAUCCCCAAAUUUGGACAAAAGAUAUAGCAGAAAACUAGCUUUCCAAUGCAAUUAGAAUCGAAGCAAUCCAACCGUUGGAUCUCCAGAUAUGGUCAAUGCACAGAAGACAAAUCAACACAGUCGGAAGCUGACCCGUGCCCAAAGCAUAAUACACCGUGGCUGCGACAUUAUAGACCGCUGGGAGCCUAUUUCCGAGCCUUAGAAACCCAUUUUAAAGCCUAGGUCAUUCCUGUCAUUAUUCCUGAAAACCCUAGACAUUCCUGAAGACUCAAGAAACUAUAUAUACCUCUUUUAAAUCAUUUAGAAGGUGUGCCAUUUUUUGUCAAGAGUCCUAGAGAGAGCUGUUACCCGUGAAGAGGAUCCACCAAGAGGGGCACCAUUGGCCCUCCUUCAGCCUGUUCUUCGUUUCUGACCUUUGUUUUAUUUUAGUUCUCUACGUUUUAAAGACACCACCAAAAUCCCUACAAAAAUCGCAUGGUUCUAAACUUCCUUACUUCACAUUUCUUUCGAAGGCUUUUACAGGAAAAGAUUCUCCUUCUCUUUGGAUUCGAUCCCUAAGUAUUACAAUCGAUCAGCUGUGCACUUGCGGCUAUUAAUUCCAUUUAGGGUAAAACUAAAAAACUGAAUGUCAGGUCGCUUGAGAGUCAAGUACUGCAGUUUACCUGUAAUGCUUUGGAAGUAUGUUGACUCAGAGAUUAACUCUGUGUUGCAGAACGCUUCAUCGAGUCAUAUUGGAAGUGGUGUCGGCAUUGGUUUUGCGCUGGCCAUGCCUGCUUCUUCCAAAAUUUUGUCUGCAUAUGUUAACUUGUUGAG